This is a long non-coding RNA of Motacilla alba alba, 1570 nucleotides long. RefSeq lists it as uncharacterized. The transcript has 5 exons. The record is from RefSeq and is a predicted model, not a curated record. NCBI's taxonomy places the organism in Eukaryota, Metazoa, Chordata, Aves, Passeriformes, Motacillidae.
UACACAGGUGCUAUGGAGAAAUAACUGCUUCCAUUUGCUAUAGGAAGUAGAAUUUUCACUUAGUUAAGGAAAGUAACCAGACAUAAAUAUCUUUCUAUGUAGAGACCAUCAUUAUGUUAAAAGAAAUCUAAUAAUUUUUUCUAGUUUUUCUUAGGGGUAAGACCUAGGAGAAAUGUUUUGCUGUUGGCGAAAGGUGGAGUGUUUAAUGGGAAGGCAGAAAUUUUGCAAGGUUUCACAGUGAGAUCAGCUUAGAGAAAGAAACACUCUUAAGAGGCAUUAUGCCAGAUAAGUAUGUAUGUGGGACUGCCUUUUAUUUCAAAGGGGAAAUGCUGCCUUGGUAUCUUGAAACUUGAAGAACAUCCCCUGUUUCAGCCGCUUAGCUGGAUUUGUGCUUCUGAGAGCCUUUACUAUUCCACAGAAAGAGAGAUUCUGAGCACUAUAUUUUUGUAGUUCUUAUUUGCCACCUCUCUUAGAAAUCCAAAGAGAACGUAUAGUUUAUCAGGAAUGGAUGAACCCUCUGGAGGCAGAGUUCGGUUGGGGAAAAUUUUCAGGAUAUGGAGAACAGAUAUCAAUGAACACAAGCAAUGCUGCUGUGAGAAGAGAGAGCUGGGAGUACUCAAGGCUCACAUGAAUUCCUACAAGAGAGGUAGGCUUGUGUCAUCUGUUACAUGAAUGAAGCUAUGAAUGUCAAACAACACUUCCAGCAUCUGAGCUUCGUGCAGAUGGGUGACAUUAGAUCUAGAUCCUGGUAACUGAAGCAAUGCAAACUCAUGGAUUGUCCUUUGCUGUAUGUUUAUCAUGUGAACUUCCAGUCUGCCCAUCUGCAAAACCACCAGGGACACAGCUGGGAGAAAUAAAAGCUAAGAUGAAGGGCAGAUGAAGAGCCUCUGUUGCAGUGAACUCAGAGCAGGGACAUUGUCUUGAAAAGAGAAAAAAACAGAGAGCAGUACAAAGAGAGUCUGAAGAGCCCUGUGGUCCCAAAGGGCUGCCUGCCCCUUCUUUUAGCAGCUUUCAAGGUGAGUCCUGUUUGAUUUAUUUUGGCAUAUCUUUAUGCUGAAGAGCUGUGUCGCUGAGCUGCAUUUAGCAGAGUGUGAGCACAUGGAAGUUGCCUUUGGUACUUUACAUAUCUGUGUCUCCUUUCAUCCCAGGUUCUGUUAGUAAGAUAAAAGGUCCUUGUAGGAGUUGAUGCAGGAUUAGGGCGUACAGUGGGAAUGGCACAGAGAUCAGAAGCAGAGCUCUUUCAAAGCCAAAUGGGCCCCAGCAAAGACUACAAGCUAAACAAAACACAGGACUUGAUGGAAAACAUGUUAGUGUUCUCUCUCCUUUAAACCAUGUCGAUCUUCCCUGCUGCAACUGUGGCACUCCUUUGUUUUUUCCAGUGAGAAUGAGAAUAAAAAAAUCUAUUUAAAGUCUUUAGGAAGUGAAUCUUACACCUGAAAUAAGUAUGUUUUCAUGAAGAUUAACAUAGGCUUGUUCUGAGAAGUGAAUUGGGUGAACAGAAAACAGAUUGAUAACGCAGAUAACACUCUAUGCCACUCAUGAAAUUUUAUCCAGCGAGCUGCAGCCUGAA